Molecule: long non-coding RNA, 1465 nt
Filed under: Astyanax mexicanus (Mexican tetra)
Lineage: Eukaryota; Metazoa; Chordata; Actinopteri; Characiformes; Acestrorhamphidae
Description: lncRNA (ENSAMXG00005003116.1)
Source: RNAcentral
UCUGAUGCUGUGUGAUGAGAGAAACUGCAUGUAUGCUGAGAGAGAAACUGUCACUAAAUAAACUGCUGCUACUGAGCUGCGAUGCAAAAAGAACAUUACUGGUGUCCAGUCUGCCUCUCUCCUUUAAAACAAAAAAUACACAACGCAGAGGAAAAACUACCAUCAGAGGUGGACUAAGUGUGCAGGUGGUGCCAAGCACGCGACACCCCGGGUUACAUUAACAUUUCCAAAUAACUGUUCUCUAGUCUCUAAAGCUUCUGUUACUCUUGCUUUGUCGGUGAAGACCAGUUGCCCAGUUGACCACAUGGCUCUUUCUCAGCAACACAGUUCAGGCCCAGCACAAAAGACAAAGAUCAGAGACACACAGCAGUGGUGCACAGCCUCGUCCUACACAGGCUGGAAAUGGAUGCUUCGCCAUAAGCGUCGACAAUUUCUCUCGCUCUCUCUCCGUCUCGCUGCGUAGCGGCUGGCUGGCUGGCUGCAGUCUGCUGGAGAGAGAAAGGAGAGCGGCUGCAGCUCGCCCCACUCCCUCACCCUCUCCAUCUCUCCAAGUGCUGGCGGAUAAUAAUACAGACAGGGAGCUCAAACAAAGAAAGAUUGAUAGAACGAGGGAAGAGAGGAGCAAAGGAGUGAAGAGUACUGGAAGAGAAGGAAGGAGAGAAAAGAAAGAGGAAAGAGGAGACACGGUGCCAGGAUUCCAUUUGACUGAAAAGAGGAAAAGAGAAAGAGAGAGAGAGAGAGAAAGACAGAGUGUCGCCAUUUCAGUAGGUUUAACUUUGUUUACUUCUUGUUUUGCAGUGCUGGCAUUUUGUACUCUCAUGAUCUGACUGAAAUUAUUGGCAGGGCGUGUGUUUGUGUGUAUGUAUUUUUAACAUAUGUGUGUGUAUAUGUGUGUAAAUGUGUGUUAUAUCUGUGUGAGACAGAAACGUUAAACGUUAAACUGCCAUACAUUCAUAAACAAUGUAUGACUUUUGCAUUCCUGCACACUAGACCUCUAACUAAUCGUCUAACAAAGUGAUCAGAGCUGAUUCUGAGCUAAUUAUUUGGGUUUGUAAGAGCAGAUUUGUGGGAGCGGGUUUAGGUGAGAGUGCCGUUGUUUAGUAACUUGACUUUUUGUCUUUGUCAGCAUCUACCGAGUCUGGUUAAAACUGAGAACAGGAAUUUUAUGCAGAUCUUGAUCACUUGAUCAUUCAUCUGAGAGCUUGUAACAACAUUAUAAAACAGGACUAAGGUAACUUUAAAUCCUGAAGGGAAAAAGGAAGAAGAACAAGCAGCUGUGAAAGUUCUGCAGUUUGAACUCGAGUGUAAGUUGCACUUACGCAUUGCUGAGCAAACUCGUCUCACAUUUGAAACAAAGGGAGAACUCCACAGAUGCACAAGUGGCUAAAAGAAAGGUAAGCAAGCAGCUUGUGAGAUAAAAAUAUGCACAUACUUGAUUUUUCAUUUAUAUUUACGGAAGGAGUCC